AAAUGCGAUAAGUAAUGUGAAUUGCAGAAUUCAGUGAAUCAUCGAAUCUUUGAACGCACAUUGCGCCCGCCAGUAUUCUGGCGGGCAUGCCUGUUCGAGCGUCAUUUCAACCAUCAAACCCCCGGCUUGUGUUGGGGACCUGCGGCUGCCCGCAGGCCCUGAAAAACAGUGGCGGGCUCGCUGUCACACCGAGCGUAGUAGCAUACAUUCUCGCUCAGGGCGUGCUGCGGGUUCCGGCCGUUAAACGACCUUCAUAACCCAAGGUUGACCUCGGAUCAGGUAGGAAGACCCGCUGAACUUAAGC
RNAcentral lists this unclassified non-coding RNA (304 nucleotides) under plant metagenome. Its description in RNAcentral is "partial contains 5.8S ribosomal RNA, internal transcribed spacer 2, and large subunit ribosomal RNA". The stretch from base 1 to 104 matches the Rfam family "5.8S ribosomal RNA", at positions 51 to 154 of the family's 154-position model. The record is from RNAcentral.